This 813-nucleotide long non-coding RNA is filed under the name Heterocephalus glaber (naked mole-rat). Its description in RNAcentral is "lncRNA (ENSHGLG00000032137.1)". The record is from RNAcentral. Lineage: Eukaryota; Metazoa; Chordata; Mammalia; Rodentia; Bathyergidae.
GAGGCCUCUCUCUGCCUGAGAGAUAGUUCUUUCCGCACAAACCUAACUAGACCUCCAGUGACACCAGCUUGGGUCAAGCCACUACCUUUGCUCCAGGUCGGAGCCUUGUGAUUGCCACCCACCUCUCACUGCCAUGUGAAUGGGCCGCUCAAAGGUGGCAGGUCCCUGACAUAUGUGGCCAUGGUGCUCCAUGGUGCAGUUGUAGGAGGACCUGUGACCCUGCCACCUGCCUCCCACUCCUCCCUUUAUGUACCUGAUCUGCCUGUGCCAGCCUAGAAUGCCACUCGCCCCCAUGCCUAGCAUGGCUCCCGGCACAGACAGGACACCUGCAGAUGAGUGCUGAAUGAAGAGACCUCCGAGGAUGCUUGGUGACAUGGGGCUUUGGAGCCUGGUCUGGCACUUGGUCCUUCCUGUACCUGUCAACAGCUGCAGAGGAUGAGUUUCUAUGGAUGCUGCCCCUAUAAUUCAGAGAGGUUGCGGAACUCGGCCAAGAUUGCAGAGCAGACCUGCUGGCUCCACCACCUAUGCUCAGCCCACUGUUGCCCAUUCACAGGCUCUUUGGUGCUCCCUGCCCCAGGAGAGGACGUGACCGUGUGAAGUAGCAGGAAGUAGAAGGGGCCUCUGCUUGACUUUUAUAGGAAACAGCUUUGGAAUUAGGGGAAACUAUAAAGGCAACAGAUAUAGAAAAACACCCUGGGAGAGUAAAAACAGUCCCACCCCAUUGACUAGCAAAGUCCUCUCUGCAUGGAAGGAAGCCGGGCUGUGUGAGGGCCAUGGCUCCUCAUGGGGCUGGAUCCAGGGGUGGGGUGGGGG